UAGAGUUUGAUCCUGGCUCAGGACGAACGCUGGCGGCGUGCUUAACACAUGCAAGUCGAGCGGAAAGGCCCUUCGGGGUACUCGAGCGGCGAACGGGUGAGUAACACGUGAGCAACCUGCCCCAGGCUUUGGGAUAACCCCGGGAAACCGGGGCUAAUACCGAAUAUGACCUCUGACCGCAUGGUUGGUGGUGGAAAGUUUUUCGGCUUGGGAUGGGCUCGCGGCCUAUCAGCUUGUUGGUGGGUGAUGGCCUACCAAGGCGACGACGGGUAGCCGGCCUGAGAGGGCGACCGGCCACACUGGGACUGAGACACGGCCCAGACUCCUACGGGAGGCAGCAGUGGGGAAUAUUGCACAAUGGGCGGAAGCCUGAUGCAGCGACGCCGCGUGAGGGAUGACGGCCUUCGGGUUGUAAACCUCUUUCAGCAGGGACGAAGCGUAAGUGACGGUACCUGCAGAAGAAGCGCCGGCCAACUACGUGCCAGCAGCCGCGGUAAGACGUAGGGCGCGAGCGUUGUCCGGAUUUAUUGGGCGUAAAGAGCUCGUAGGCGGCUUGUCGCGUCGACCGUGAAAACUUGGGGCUCAACCCCAAGCCUGCGGUCGAUACGGGCAGGCUAGAGUUCGGUAGGGGAGACUGGAAUUCCUGGUGUAGCG
This 654-nucleotide ribosomal RNA is filed under the name uncultured Micromonospora sp. RNAcentral describes it as "bacterial SSU rRNA". It matches the Rfam family "Bacterial small subunit ribosomal RNA", at positions 1 to 680 of the family's 1533-position model. Lineage: Bacteria; Bacillati; Actinomycetota; Actinomycetes; Micromonosporales; Micromonosporaceae. The record is from RNAcentral.